This is a long non-coding RNA of Salvelinus fontinalis (brook trout), 4229 nucleotides long. RefSeq lists it as uncharacterized. NCBI's taxonomy places the organism in Eukaryota, Metazoa, Chordata, Actinopteri, Salmoniformes, Salmonidae. The transcript is spliced from 4 exons. The record is from RefSeq and is a predicted model, not a curated record.
CUUUGUGCAUGACACAAGUCAUUUUUCCAACAAUUGUUUACAAACAGAUUAUUUCACUUAUAAUUCACUGUAUCACAAUUCCAGUGGGUCAGAAGUUUACAUACACUAAGUUGACUGUGCCUUUAAACAGCUUGGAAAAUUCCAGAAAAUGAUGUCAUGGCGUAGAAGCUUCUGAUUAGCUAAUUGACAUAAUUUGAGUCAACUUGUGGAGUUGGUGUACUUGUGGAUGUAAUUCAAGGCCUACCUUCAAACUCAGUGCCUCUUUGUUUGACAUCAUGGGAAAAUUAAAAGAAUUCAGCCAAGACCUCAGAAAAACAAUUGUAGACCUCCACAAGUCUGGUUCAUCCUUGAGAGCAAUUUCCAAAUGUCUGAAGGUACCGUGUUCAUCUGUACAAACAAUAGUAGGCAAGUAUAAACACCAUGGGACCACGCAGCCAUCAUACUGCUCAGGAAGGAGAUGCUUUCUGUCUCCUAGAGAUGAACGUACUUUGGUGCGAAAAGUGCAAAUGAAUUCCAGAACAACAGCAAAGGACAUUGUGAAGAUGCUGGAGGAAACAGGUACAAAAGUAUCUAUAUCCACAGUAAAAACGAGUCCUGUGUCGACAUAACCUGAAAGGCCACUCAGCAAAGAAGAAGCCACUGCUCCAAAACCGCCAUAAAAAAGCCAGACUACGGUGUGCAACUGCACAUGGGGACAAAGAUUGUACUUUUUGGAGAAAUGUCCUCUGGUCUGAUGAAACAAAAUAGAACUGUUUGGCCAUAAUGACCAUCGUUAAUUGUACUUCAACUGUACUUACUCAUACUCUGGGUUAAGGUUAUAGCCAUUGUAGUCAUAGGCCACCUGUCCCUGAUCAUCGAUGUAAUACCCUGACUGGUAGAAGUCUUGUUCACAUUUCUGAAAGUCCCCCAUUGCUGUGGAGUAGGUGGAAAAGAUGAAGAUAAAGAUCAUUACUGUAACAGUAGAGUGAAGUAAGGGGCCCUUUUGAGGAGGGCUGCUCAGUUCCCACAUGUUAUAUCACGAAACGAGUUGCCAACCAAAUCACAAUUUUAUAAGCUACAAAUUAAAAUACAAAUAGAUGACCUAUUGCGCUUCAUUCUUUGGUCAAUAUAAUACUGACACUACAGCAGAAAAUACAUGCCAGAUAUUCAAACAGCAGGUUUCACUCAAACUGCUAAGGCCAGAUCAUAAUUAGUUACUGGGAUUGCCUUAUUGUUGAGUUCAGAUUUCAAACCUUGAGGUAAAUUCUGAGCAAGACCUCCUGUUAUGUUGUCAGGGGAGAGAUUUGAAAGAACAUUUGAAGGCUGUGUGGGGAUGUACAAAUGUAUAAAUUGUUUCCUCUAUUUGAGCUGGGGCUAUGAUAACCCCAGAGAAGUAGACUAAGUAGCCCACUUUCUAUCUAAUCUAUUUCUUAAUUUCCUAUUAUUUUUUCCCUUCCUUUUUCGAGGUUUAGUAAUAUGUCUUAUGGAAAUUAAGCCAGUUGCAGAAAUGCAAUGGUUUUGGAUACUGGGUGCUACUGAACAGAAUGAACAAUUUCCACUGUUUACAUGGCUCUUAUUUUGAAGGAUUUUCGAACAGCUUAAAUCAGAUGUCGCUGGCUCAACAUUCGUUAAGCCAGUCAUAUGAUUUCCCUGUGGGCAAAGCUGCUUACUUAAAAUAAAAAAUAUAUAAUAAUUUAAAAAAGGGGUAACAGUGGAUUAGCAUUCAUACAUUUACAAGGUAGUAAUACAUUUACAUUUUGUUCUACAUAUGAAAAACAACCAAGUCCAGCUAACUAGCUAGCUACCUUGCUAAACCUAGUAUCUGCUGGAGAUAAAUUAGCUGUCAACGAAAUAGCAAGGAAAGCUAGAAAGAGCACAAAAAAGACCUGCUGAUAUUCUCAACAUUUACAGACAUUCUUACCAUAAUUCAGUUCUCUUCUAGCAAUUGACGGUGGAAUAAAAGAUGUAAUAUUUCCACCAUGGCUGAUGUAAGUAUAAAUUAUUUGAACCCAAUCAAUGAUUACAUUCAUCUCUAGCUAGCUGAAGUCAUAGCCAGUUGCUACACCAGUGUAGUAGCUACCAGGGGCACAACUUUUACUGGGGGCACAACUCCCCCCCCACCACAUUCUGAAGUUGCAUUUAAAAAAGUGGCAACACUGGGGUAAAAAAGGGGUAAACCCCCCCAGUUUUUAUUGGAAUGUGAUACAAAAUGAGGCAACGGUGUGCUUUAGGAUGGCUCCGAGUGGUAGGGUAGGCUUUUUGGAGUGUUUAUGUGACAAAUUAAAAAUAACAACUAUGCCUCCCCCCACUUCUAAAACCAUAGUUGCACCCCUGGUAGCUACCUAUCUUGUCUCUAUCUUGACACAUUUUGUUGCAGGACUUGAAGAGAUACUUGUACAAACUGUUACCAAGGUAUGUUUGUUUGUUGUAUGAUUGUGUUCAUUGUGAUUCUGUUGCUGAAACCUAAUAUUGAACUUGGGAAUCCCUAAUGUGAAAAGUGAAUUUCAGUAGUUUGAAUUAUGACAAAGGAGUUAUGUCAUGUGCUGCUCUUUUUCUCCUUAUCCACCAGUUUUGAGGGUCUUCGUGCAAUCAUAGUGACAGAUAGGGAUGGUGUCCCAGUUAUUAAAGAUUGUGCAGUUUAACCGGUUACCAUUGGUGAUCAAUUUCAUCGCAAGCAGUAGUGCCAACGCAGCCAGUCAUCUGUGGAGCAGAAAGGAUCUCUGAGGAUAACAGGAGUGACAAGCUACCAGACUUAAGAGUGGAGGAUGCAGAUUAUUUGGAUGAUGACGUUUGGGAGCCACCCCUCCCCAGCUAGCGUCCCCGCUGGUCAAGGCUUCACCCUUCACUGCUAUGUCAAUCACCCCGUCUGAUGGUUCUACAUCAACUUUUCAUAGACCUCUUGAAAAAGAAAAUAGAGACUUGUGGCACCAUUCGUCCUAACAAAAUCAGUUUCCACAAGACCAAGGUAAACGACAUGACAAAGACAGCGGAGAGCGGGACCAUACGUUCUAUCAGGACUAACAAGCUGCUUUUUGUGAAACGGAAGGACACUAGGGAAGUAACCAUGCUCACACAGCAUAAGGCAUUCAAUAACAUCCAUGUCUCAAGGAGGGUGAAAAGGAAGAAUGUCUCUAUUCCUGUUUCUGUGAAGGACUACAAUGCCAGCAUGGGGGGUGUCGACCUAUCUGAUGCUCUGAUAGGCUACUUCCAGGCUACUUCCAGGUCCUCCAUAAGACAAGGAAGUGGUAUAAUACAUUGUUUUUACCACUUUGUGGACAUUGCUACAGUAAAUUAUUUCAUUCUCCACAAGCAGAUGGCCAAAGCAAAAGGUCAAACCCCUCUCUCCCAGUUGGCCUUCCGAGAGCAGCUGGUGUUAAAUGGGUGAAUUGAGGGCCCAAAGCAACCUCACAACCAUCACAAAAUGGAAAUGGCAGUUCACUUGUUUCCUGGCGGAGAGGGACUGCUUCAAAGACUAUCAGGGCAUGCACAAGCUAUGGUGAAAGUGAAAUCCAAUCAUCUAUACCUGGAUUGUAAAACGAAUGCCAUUUGUAAAUAGUUCAGCUUAUUUCUAUUUUAGUGAAGGACACGUGUGUAACCAAGUUUGUUUGAUAAGACAUUUGUAUAUAUUUUUGAAUGUAUAUUGGUUGCUUUUAUAAACAGUUCAUUUGUAUGUGGGACCAAUAUAUUGGAUAUGCCUAGGCGAAAAGUUCAGGCACUUUGGAGAGGUUAAAAAAACACUUGGAUAUCCCCUGUAUGUUCCCCGAUACCUCCACAAUGUUAGAGGUUGGUGUUGUAGAAACUUUUACUUUUAGGCACAUCCAGUGUGCAAAAACAGUGCAAUUACCACAUUUGGAAACUUUGGAAAGGUUGAAAUGACACUUGAAUGUACCCUGGAUACCCCCUAACACCACCACAAUGUUUGAGUGAGGUUGAUAUGGUAGAAAUUGUGUUUUUAUACUGAACAAAUAGCAUUUAGGGAUUGGAAAUAUGUAAUAGAACUGGAAUUAUCUCAUUUGCAGACAUGUCACUUUGGAGAGGUUUAGGGACACUUGGAAACAUCCCAUGACCACACCUGACACCACUUACUAAAAAAUCUGCCCAUUUCUAGCUGUUAGGUCUAUCAAUCCCAUUGUUCACAUGUUGUGGAAGCCAUCUGAUGCAUUUCCAGCUCUGGGCAUCAAUAAUUCACUUAUAGCUUGUCAAUUAAAGAUUACUUUCAAAAUAAAAAAACGUAUUUUGUGUGUGCUUGA